Morus notabilis is the source of this 499-nucleotide long non-coding RNA. RefSeq lists it as uncharacterized. Lineage: Eukaryota; Viridiplantae; Streptophyta; Magnoliopsida; Rosales; Moraceae. The record is from RefSeq and is a predicted model, not a curated record. The transcript has 3 exons.
CUCCCUCUUUCUCUAUCUCGUUCUCUCUCACUCGCUCUAUCUCUCGGUUCUCUCUCUCUCCUCCAUGGGUGAUGCAGUCCAAGCUUCUAAAUGGAGGCCGUUUGCUCCAUUUUUUAUGGACAGUUUAUUUAUAAAGUCAAUUUGAAGAUUGGAGACGGAUUUUCUUGAGAUUCCAAGAAGAUUAAGCUUUUGGAUUGGGCGAAUUGCAUGUGGAAUUCAAGAGCAAGAGGUUUUGGUAUUAGAGCGCGGCUUCAGAUUCCAUGAUAACUGAGCAUGUGGUUGGCGGUUUAGUUUGUAGCUUGGUAAGUUAAUGACGGUAGACUACAAGCUCGAGAUUUGAGAUGGUUUGAUUAUUUCUGAUUUCACGAUUUUUAAUUCUAUGUUGUACUGUACUUUGUGUAUGUAAACUGUAAUAGUCGGCACUGUCGCAAAGUUGUAUUAUUUUAAGAAAAAUUAUAAAUUUAUAGACUGUUUUAGUAUUAUUUGUCAAAGAAAGAUU